GAGGCUACACACGUACUACAAUGGCCGGUACAAGGGCAGCGACACAGCGAUGUGAAGCCAAUCCCGAAAAGCCGGUCUCAGUCCGGAUUGGAGUCUGCAACUCGACUCCAUGAAGUUGGAAUCGCUAGUAAUCGCGGAUCAGCACGCCGCGGUGAACACGUUCCCGGGCCUU
This 172-nucleotide ribosomal RNA is filed under the name uncultured Desulfocapsa sp. RNAcentral's name for it is "partial 16S ribosomal RNA". It matches the Rfam family "Bacterial small subunit ribosomal RNA", at positions 1210 to 1382 of the family's 1533-position model. The record is from RNAcentral. Lineage: Bacteria; Pseudomonadati; Thermodesulfobacteriota; Desulfobulbia; Desulfobulbales; Desulfocapsaceae.